GAACUUUCCGCUUAGUGGCAAACGGGCGAGUAACACGUGGGUUACCUACCUCCUUGAUGGGGAUACCAAUUGGAAACGAUUGUUAAUACCGAAUGUGCUCUACGGAGUAAAGUACCUUUCGGGGUACGCGAGGAGAUGGGCCUGCGGUGCAUUAGAUAGUUGGUGGGGUAAAGGCCUACCAAGUCGACGAAUGCAUAGCUGAACUGAGAGGUUGAUCGGCCACACUGGGACUGAGACACGGCCCACACUCCUACGGGAGACAGCAGUUAGGAAUAUUCGUCGAUGGGGGGAACCCUGAACGAGCAAUGCCGCGUGAGUGAAGACGGUCCUCUGGAUUGUAAAACUCUGUUGUUUGGGAAGAACGUUAUUAAUAGGAAAUGAUUAGUAAGUGACGGUACCAUUCAAGAAAGCCACGGCUAACUACGUGCCAGCAGCCGCGGUAAUACGUAGGUGGCGAGCGUUAUCCGGAUUUAUUGGGCGUAAAGCGUCCGCAGCCGGUUUAUUAAGUCCAAAAUUAAAGCCCGAGGCUUAACCUCGGUUCGUUUUGGAAACUGAUAAGCUAGAGUGUGGUGGAGGCAAGUGGAAUUUCUAGUGUAGCGGUAGAAUGCGUAGAUAUUAGAAGGAACACCAGUGGCGAAGGCGACUUGCUGGGCCAUAACUGACGGUCAGGGACGAAAGCGUGGGGAGCGAAUAGGAUUAGAUACCCUAGUAGUCCACGCUCUAAACGAUGAU
This 732-nucleotide ribosomal RNA is filed under the name uncultured bacterium. RNAcentral's name for it is "bacterial SSU rRNA". It matches the Rfam family "Bacterial small subunit ribosomal RNA", at positions 81 to 813 of the family's 1533-position model. The record is from RNAcentral. RNAcentral also lists the same sequence under 1 other name.